GUAUGAAGAUAAUACGUCGCCUGGGAACUCUACCAGGUUUGACUAGUAAAACACCUGGAUCGGGCUCGGGUUAUAUCGAUCGAUCAACGUCGAGUAAGAAAAUUUCCCAGUAUCGUAUUCGGUUAGAGGAGAAGCAGAAACUACGUUUCCAUUAUGGAUUGACAGAGAGACAAUUAUUAAAAUAUGUUCGUGUCGCCAGAGGGGCAAAAGGUUCGACGGGUCAAUUAUUACUACAGUUGCUUGAAAUGCGUUUGGAUAAUACAAUCUUUCGUUUGGGUAUGGUUCCGACAAUCCCCGCAGCGAGGCAAUUAGUUAAUCAUCGACAUGUUUCAAUAAAUGAAAAUAUAGUUGAUAUACCAAGUUAUAAUUGUCAACCUGGGGAUGUUAUUACGAUAAGGAAUCAGGCGAAAUGUCGAUUAAUAACUGAAAGAGAUAUGAAUUUAUUCCAGAAGCCUGAAAUACCUAAUCAUUUAGCUUUUGAUUCAGCAAACUUUCUUGGAUCGAUAAAUCAAAUAAUUGAUCGCAAUUGGAUUGAUUUGAAAGUCAAUGAAUUGUUGGUUGUGGAAUACUACUCCCGCCAGGUUUGA
RNAcentral lists this non-coding RNA (587 nucleotides) under Lobatiriccardia verdoornioides. The record is from RNAcentral. Lineage: Eukaryota; Viridiplantae; Streptophyta; Jungermanniopsida; Metzgeriales; Aneuraceae.